Eptesicus fuscus (big brown bat) is the source of this 305-nucleotide long non-coding RNA. RefSeq lists it as uncharacterized. The transcript has 3 exons. Lineage: Eukaryota; Metazoa; Chordata; Mammalia; Chiroptera; Vespertilionidae. The record is from RefSeq and is a predicted model, not a curated record.
AUCAACGCCUUCAGGGCCAGGACGGACUCUAGGGGAUGAACAGGGGCACCUCACACCACACUCUCAUUCCAUGCUUCCAGAAUGCCUUCUGGGAUUGUUUUGAUUUCACGCUGUACACCUCUUCUCAAAGAACAAGCUUGUGGAGAGCAGAGGCCAGGGGAACCCUCAUUGUGACUCCAGUUUCAGCAGCUCCAGGUCACCUUGGGGAACUGAAGCACCUUGGACUUCAGCAGCUUGGAGAUAUUCUCUUUCAUGCUACCCUCCACAGCUGUGAGCUUGGUGGCCACUGAGGUGUUCAGUUGACC